CAACAGGGAUUGCCCCAGUAACGGCGAGUGAAGCGGCAAUAGCUCAAAUUUGAAAUCUGGCUCUUUUAGGGUCCGAGUUGUAAUUUGCAGAGGGCGCUUUGGCGUUGGCAGCGGUCCAAGUUCUUUGGAACAGGACGUCACAGAGGGUGAGAAUCCCGUACGUGGUCGCUAUCCUUCGCCGUGUAAAGCCCCUUCGACGAGUCGAGUUGUUUGGGAAUGCAGCUCUAAAUGGGAGGUAAAUUUCUUCUAAAGCUAAAUACUGGCCAGAGACCGAUAGCGCACAAGUAGAGUGAUCGAAAGAUGAAAAGCACUUUGGAAAGAGAGUCAAAUAGCACGUGAAAUUGUUGAAAGGGAAGCGCUUGCAGCCAGACUUGCCUGUAGUUGCUUAUCCAGACUUUUGUCUGGUGCACUCUUCUGCGGGCAGGCCAGCAUCAGUUUGGGCGGUUAGAUAAAGGUCUCUGUCAUGUACCUCUCUUCGGGGAGGCCUUAUAGGGGAGACGACAUGUAACCAGCCUGGACUGAGGUCCGCGCAUCUGCUAGGAUGCUGGCGUAAUGGCUGUAAGCGGCCCGUCUUGAAACACGGACCAAGGAGUCUAACAUCUAUGCGAGUGUUUGGGUGUCAAGCCCAGACGCGUAAUGAAAGUGAACGGAGGUAAGAACCCUUUGGGUGCAUUAUCGACCGAUCCUGAUGUCUUCGGAAGGAUUUGAGUAAGAGCAUGGCUGUUGGGACCCGAAAGAUGGUGAACUAUGCUUGAAUAGGGUGAAGCCAGAGGAAACUCUGGUGGAGGCUCGCAGCGGUUCUGACGUGCAAAUCGAUCGUCAAAUUUGGGCAUAGGGGCGAAAGACUAAUCGAACU
Molecule: ribosomal RNA, 856 nt
Filed under: Nodulosphaeria thalictri
Lineage: Eukaryota; Fungi; Ascomycota; Dothideomycetes; Pleosporales; Phaeosphaeriaceae
Description: partial large subunit ribosomal RNA
Rfam family: Eukaryotic large subunit ribosomal RNA
Source: RNAcentral